Molecule: transfer RNA, 71 nt
Filed under: Camelus bactrianus (Bactrian camel)
Lineage: Eukaryota; Metazoa; Chordata; Mammalia; Artiodactyla; Camelidae
Also listed under: 2 other names
Rfam family: tRNA
About the family: Transfer RNA (tRNA) molecules are approximately 80 nucleotides in length. Their secondary structure includes four short double-helical elements and three loops (D, anti-codon, and T loops). Further hydrogen bonds mediate the characteristic L-shaped molecular structure. tRNAs have two regions of fundamental functional importance: the anti-codon, which is responsible for specific mRNA codon recognition, and the 3' end, to which the tRNAs corresponding amino acid is attached (by aminoacyl-tRNA synthetases). tRNAs cope with the degeneracy of the genetic code in two manners: having more than one tRNA (with a specific anti-codon) for a particular amino acid; and 'wobble' base-pairing, i.e. permitting non-standard base-pairing at the 3rd anti-codon position.
Source: Rfam by way of RNAcentral
GAAGGUAUAGCUCAGAGGUAGAAUGCAUGUUUAGCAUACACGAUGUCCUAGGUUCACCCCUAGUAUCUCCA